RNAcentral lists this long non-coding RNA (1306 nucleotides) under Panax ginseng (ginseng). RNAcentral describes it as "long non-coding RNA (PGIN_LNC007827)". The record is from RNAcentral. Lineage: Eukaryota; Viridiplantae; Streptophyta; Magnoliopsida; Apiales; Araliaceae.
UCACAUCCACGAAUUAUCCAUGCACUACGGGCCAAUGUUAUUCGUGUAAUCAUCAAUGGUCAUGAUCAUGCCAACCACUGUCCAUCAAUGCACUACGAGCCAAUGAUGACUUUUACCACAUCAUUUGUAACAUUACGGUUAUGAUUAUACCGAAUAAUCCCUGGUCAUAAUCAUACCAAUCAACAGUCCAUCUAUGCAUGUAAGCCACAGAUGACUUUCAUCACAAUAUAAGCAUGAGGAUGAUGACAAUGAUAUAAGAAUUCAAUUAAAAAAAACAAAGGAUAAAUGUUUAAAGAUUUAUAAUUUAAUUUAUACAUAAUUCAAUAAUUUCCAAAUUGUCAACAUGAUACUGCUUUGUGGAGUAAAAUUUAAGAAUAAUAUUGUAUCAAAAAUGAUUUGGACAACAAAGAAAUCAAUUUUUGUCAUUAAUAGUACCCCGGGUGAAUAGUACCCUAGUGAAUAGUAUCCCGUGAAUAGUACUUUAUAAUAAUACCCGUGAAUAGUACUUUGUGAAUAAUACCCCAUGAAUAGUAUUCUGACUUGAAAAUAUCAAUAAUUAUCAAGAAUGCUCAGAACAAUAUUUCCAUGAAAAGAUACUGGAUGAAGUGCAAAUAUCAAGGAUAUUCUACUAAUUUCACGGAGUAUAGAAGCAAUACUUUAACAGAAUGAGUGUAGAAUUAGGAAUAUGAAACAAAAUAAUAUUACUCACAUACUACAAAGUAUGGAAGAAAAUAUUAUUUCUUACGAAUACUGAACAAAAAUAAUAUCCCUUACCUUAGAAGAAGACUGGAUACUAGAAUAGUGAAGUAGCAGAAUAUUCUUCUUCUUUCUCUCUAUAGCUUCUAUCUCUAUAAUUACUUUUAUGAGUCUUAGUGAAUUGGUGAGAAUGAAAGAAGAAUGAGCUUCUAUUUAUAGGAAAACAUAGUUUCAAUAAUUAUACGUUUUGGGGCUCGAAUUAUUACAGUAUAGUACCUUCAUCUUUUUCUCUAUUUUUAAUUUAGUCCUACAAGUAUUAUCAAACUUGCACCACCUCCCCUAAUAGUACAUGCAUGUGAAGAAAUAGUAUAUGCAUGUGAAUCAAUUGUUCCAUUCAUGUGAACUAAUAACAAUUAAUUGCUCAUUUAUCCGAUUAAUUACCCGAUUGGUCAAUUUAACCUCCAGAAAUCAAUUAUUAUCAAAAUAAAUAUCGAUUUCCACUAACACUAAUAAUCCCAACACAAUGGAAAUAUCAAUUUCAUCUUUAAUCAACACGAAUUUAUUAAUCAUUAAUAUUAUAACUCACAAUAUUUAACAACCAGAUCAUUCC